ACACACACACACACACACACACACACACACACACACACACACACACUAAAAAUAAGCUUUAGAAGACCCACCUCAGGAAACCAAGCACAGAGGGAAAUGUGUAAAGGAGAGAGACCACUGGAGGAUAUAAACCUCGCACGAACACUUCAGGAAACCUAGUGGCUCUGGGAUCUGAAUCUCAAAGUGAGGUUCUCUGCAUGGGCAGCAAGCCCCUUCCAAUGCACCUCUACCUAGGAGGAGAGAGCCCACGGCUUCCGCACAUGGACAGUUCUCUCCUCAACCUCUUUCCUGGACAGAGCCUACCUACCUAGCAGGGGUUCUCUGAGGAAGCAGCCUGGCUGCAGGCCUCCUCAGGUGCCUGAGCUCCUGCCUAGUCAGGAGCACAGAGAUGAAUGGGACCCCAACCCCAAUCUAGGCAGGGGUGGCUUGGGAGCCCACUGACCCUGAAAGGAUUUGCCACCAUCCAUGUAUCAUCGCACUGACUCACCCCUUACCUUUCUACUUCCUCACUGAAUACAGUCAGUUGACUUACAACCGCAGUGUUUGGAGUUGUGUCCAGCAGCAAUUCCCAAGAGGAUUUUAUUACUUCAUCAGCACUCCAGACCCACAUUCAUGACAUACUUGUCUCCUUUGACAUCUGUGUGGAUGUAAUCCUGACUCGGACCAGGCCCACAGAUGGAGGGACACUUGGUCUCUGUCAUGAAUAAAAUUGUUCCUGAGACUGGACACGGACAUCAGAACCCGCCUGGCAUCCCAGAAUUGGCGACUCACUCCCCUACCCCACUCAGGUUGUGUUGGGAUGCACCCUGUGGUAUGGUGCCUUCAUCUCAAAAUCUCUGGCAAGUCUAAACUCGGGGAUGCCAGGAGACUAGGAGCUUGGGGUGCUGGUCCUCCUCUUCCUUUGCAUCCCCCACGAGGGCCUUUCCUCACCCACGCUGGAGCUUAGGAGCCAGUGUGGCUGUCUGUCUGCCUCCAGUACAGGAUUCCCAACUUCAGUUCCUCGGUUUGAGAACUGAGAGCAGGCAGGGAAGUAGCCUGUCCUCAAGUCCAAUUUUGACCUCUGGACACCCACUUCUCCCUGAGCCAGCCUUACCGGUGUCUACCCAACUGGACAUUAGCCCAGAGUCUCUGAGGUUCCGAGAACCCCGUGUCUGCUUGAGACAACCCGGAGCAUGGCACAGACCAUCUCUCUACUCCUAGUUUGCUUUAGCUGUCAACUUGACAGAGUCCAGAGUUGUCUGAGAGUCUUGGCUAGGGAGCUCUUUUGGUCAGGUUGGCCUGUGUGCAUUGUCUUGAUUGCUAAUACAUGUGUGAGAGCUCACUCCACUGUGAGCAGAACCACCCACAGGCACAUGGGCCUGGGCUUUAUAAAAAGCUAGCUAAGUAAGCAUGAGCCUAGGGGCAAGUCAGUAAAUGGCUUUCCUCCAUGCUUCCUGCUUCUGCUACUGCUUGAGUUUCUGCCCUGACUGCCCUCAGUCAUGGACAAUGACCUGGAAGUGCAAACC
This 1505-nucleotide long non-coding RNA is filed under the name Rattus norvegicus (Norway rat). Its description in RNAcentral is "long non-coding RNA NONRATT003386". Lineage: Eukaryota; Metazoa; Chordata; Mammalia; Rodentia; Muridae. The record is from RNAcentral.